Molecule: long non-coding RNA, 1758 nt
Filed under: Homo sapiens (human)
Lineage: Eukaryota; Metazoa; Chordata; Mammalia; Primates; Hominidae
Description: HSALNT0287220
Source: RNAcentral
GGCUUGACUUUGCUAUCAACUUACAUUGUGAGCUUGAGCAAGCGACUCACCCUCUCUGGACCUUUGGAUCAUGAACGAGUAAAUUAGAUGAUUUCCAAAGGCAGUCCAGCUGGAACACAUUGACUCCAAUAGGAACGUACACCAGAAGAACAACUCUGGUUGGGGAUUUGAAAACCUCUCACUUGCUAAUUCCUGGGGCCUAAGGCAACACAAUCCUUGUUUUCAUAACCCAGAGUUAUGUCCAGGGCCAGACCAGAGCAGCAGAUGGACAGACCUGACUCCUAGACGUUUGUAAUUGAUCAGGACACACUGUAAUGAAGUAAUUUUCUUGUCUUCAUUCUCCAUGUCAGCAGGGGCCUGUCUGCCAUGUAGGAAGGGUGACAGAGUAAUCUGAGCCGCCGCUGAAAACCUGCUUUUUCUCCACAGUUAUUUCGCCUGCCACGAGCUGUGGCAGGCAGUGGGAAAGAGUCCAGACAAGCAGGGGAAUUUGGAUGCUCUCAAAAUAUCAUACAGGAACUUUAAAAAUUGAACUGAUUUAUGCUUUGUAAUGCUUUCAAUAAUGUGUAAAUGAAGUUAGAACUUGAAUCUGAAUUUAAGGAAAAAUUUUAUGUUACCAGACAUGAAAGGGCCACAGAAAAAUCUCAUUGUAUGAUAACGCUCUCUCCGCUGUACCAAGAAUUGCACUUUGCAUAAAUAAUGGAUCCUGGGGUAGAAUGUGUAACAUGCAUUACUUUUCAGCAUCAAAGAAUGCUCAAAAUUACCUGGAGGUCUGAAAACUCCUCUGGGGCUUAUGAAUUCCUGGGUUCAGGCAAAGGCCUUGCCACUAUAAAUCUGGCUUACAAGCUCUCCAAGCUCAACGUGCUGCCAUGGAAACUUGACACAUGCCUCAACCUUCUCAACUGAGGUAUGGGCAUCAUAGGCUUAUAAUUUGCCCCAACCCAGACUCUGGAUUAAGAAAUAAUCCACAGUCUCAGUAGGGAUAUAUGUGGAAGAUAAUACUUCUCCACCCAGGGACCCUGUGCCAAAGGUCAAGUUGUGUGACUCAGAGUAGCUGAGGCCCUAGAAUGCCUCCCACACAUACAUUCUCUGAGCCAGUGGCCCAUAUUUUCCCCCUAAGGUUUUAUUGUCUUGCAUUUUUUUAAUCUCAGAGAAUUUUACAAUAGCUAGGUUUGGGACAAAGAACAUAAACAUGGCUCCAGCAAAACCAGUUGCAUAUGGUAUUGAAACAAAGACUCAGGGAGGAAAAAUGCAACACAGACCUGAGUGUUGUAGCCUGUUUGCUAGUGUAACCUUCUCUGCCCAUUGGGAACAGCUGGAAAAGGUCUCCUGAAACCCAGAGGCCCUGAGUUGGUCAUAAAAAUCCAGUUAAUUUGUCUUCAGUCUGAUUUGAGUUGGGCCACAUCAUGAAACUGGAGAGGUGUGAUGGGUGCAGCAUGAACCAGGACAGAGGAAAGCAGAGAGAAGGUGCUCCACACUGAUGAAGCAGCCAGAGGAAUGGGCCUUGGCAGUGGAGGGGAACAUCUGGGCUCAGGCUCUAGACACGGUCUGCAAUUUAAAAACUGGAUUGUGAUGAGAAGCAUCUGGAGUCUGAUAAAGGCUAAUUACAGUUAAGAAAUAUGAAAAUUGAGAACUCAGGAGAAGAUCAGCUUCUACUACUGCCUGGGCAGAAUAAUCAAGAAAUUAGCACAAACUGAUGGUGACCAUAAAGAGACACUAGAGGAUAAUUGAAGUAUUAACAUUAAAGAUAUUCUGGCAAGU